RNAcentral lists this ribosomal RNA (397 nucleotides) under uncultured bacterium. RNAcentral's name for it is "partial 16S ribosomal RNA". It matches the Rfam family "Bacterial small subunit ribosomal RNA", at positions 338 to 731 of the family's 1533-position model. The record is from RNAcentral.
CCUACGGGAGGCUGCAGUGAGGAAUAUUGGUCAAUGAGCUUACGCCUGAACCAGCCAAGUAGCGUGAGGGAAGACUGCCCUCUGGGUUGUAAACCUCUUUUGUCAGGGAGCAACGCCGGAUACGUGUAGCCGGACUGAGAGUACCUGAAGAAAAAGCAUCGGCUAACUCCGUGCCAGCAGCCGCGGUAAUACGGAGGGUCCGAGCGUUCUCCAGCCUUAUUGGGUUUAAAGGGAGCGUAGAUGGGUUGUUAGGGCAGUUGGUAAAGGUUGCGGCUCAACCGUAAGAUUGCAAUUGAUACUGGCAGCCUUGAGUACAGUUGAGGUAGGCGGAAUUCGUGGUGUAGCGGUGAAAUGCUUAGAUAUCACGAAGAACUCCGAUGGCGAAGGCAGCCUACUA